GCUCAGGACGAACGCUGGCGGCGUGCCUAAUACAUGCAAGUAGAACGCUGAAGAGAGGAGCUUGCUCUUCUUGGAUGAGUUGCGAACGGGUGAGUAACGCGUAGGUAACCUGCCUUGUAGCGGGGGAUAACUAUUGGAAACGAUAGCUAAUACCGCAUAACAAUAGAUGACUCAUGUCAUUUAUUUGAAAGGGGCAAAUGCUCCACUACAAGAUGGACCUGCGUUGUAUUAGCUAGUAGGUGAGGUAACGGCUCACCUAGGCGACGAUACAUAGCCGACCUGAGAGGGUGAUCGGCCACACUGGGACUGAGACACGGCCCAGACUCCUACGGGAGGCAGCAGUA
RNAcentral lists this ribosomal RNA (344 nucleotides) under uncultured bacterium. RNAcentral describes it as "bacterial SSU rRNA". It matches the Rfam family "Bacterial small subunit ribosomal RNA", at positions 22 to 356 of the family's 1533-position model. The record is from RNAcentral.